This 275-nucleotide ribosomal RNA is filed under the name uncultured Eubacteriales bacterium. Its description in RNAcentral is "uncultured Clostridiales bacterium partial 16S ribosomal RNA". It matches the Rfam family "Bacterial small subunit ribosomal RNA", at positions 66 to 339 of the family's 1533-position model. Lineage: Bacteria; Bacillati; Bacillota; Clostridia; Eubacteriales. The record is from RNAcentral.
AUGAAGUUUUCGGAUGGAUUUAAACAGCUUAGUGGCGGACGGGUGAGUAACGCGUGGGUAACCUGCCUCACACUGGGGGAUAACAGUUAGAAAUAGCUGCUAAUACCGCAUAAGCGCACGGUUCCGCAUGGAACAGUGUGAAAAACUCCGGUGGUGUGAGAUGGACCCGCGUCUGAUUAGCCAGUUGGUGAGGUAAGGGCUCACCAAGGCAACGAUCAGUAGCCGGCCUGAGAGGUUGAACGGCCACAUUGGGACUGAGAUACGGCCCAGACUCC